ACAAAAUUCGGACAGUCAACCGAGCAAUAUCACCCGCUCGAUGGAAAAUCUUCCCUCCGUCGU
This 63-nucleotide microRNA precursor is filed under the name Bombyx mori (domestic silkworm). Its description in RNAcentral is "mir-2774 microRNA precursor family". It matches the Rfam family "mir-2774 microRNA precursor family". The record is from Rfam by way of RNAcentral. Lineage: Eukaryota; Metazoa; Arthropoda; Insecta; Lepidoptera; Bombycidae.